This 368-nucleotide ribosomal RNA is filed under the name uncultured fungus. Its description in RNAcentral is "eukaryotic LSU rRNA". The stretch from base 1 to 126 matches the Rfam family "5.8S ribosomal RNA", at positions 30 to 154 of the family's 154-position model. Lineage: Eukaryota; Fungi. The record is from RNAcentral.
GCAUCGAUGAAGAACGCAGCGAAUCGCGAAAUGUCAGGCAAACUGCAGAAUAUUGUGAGUCUGGUAAUUUUUGAAUGCACCUUGCAAAUGUAUCUACUCGAUACCUUUACAUUUGAAUGAGUUGUCGCACUAUUUGUUACGCGUGCAUAUAUUUAUAUAUGCACGUGUGGCCUGUUGUUGUAAAGUGCACAAAAGUGUACACUUUACAAUUAAAUAUGUUUUGUGUAUGUGCGUUUAAACGCCAUUUAUAACGAGUCAUUUGCGACAAAGUAUGUUUGUUGGAUUUGCGCACGUACACUAGUACUUUUUAGCACACUCAUUUCAAGUGAGAUUACCCGCUAAACUUAAGCAUAUCAAUAAGCGGAGGA